This 470-nucleotide ribosomal RNA is filed under the name uncultured bacterium. RNAcentral's name for it is "bacterial SSU rRNA". It matches the Rfam family "Bacterial small subunit ribosomal RNA", at positions 30 to 524 of the family's 1533-position model. The record is from RNAcentral.
AUUGAACGCUGGCGGCAUGCCUAACACAUGCAAGUCGAACGGCAGCACAGUAUGUAGCAAUACAUAUGGGUGGCGAGUGGCGGACGGGUGAGUAACGCGUGGGAAUCUGCCCUAUAGUGGGGGACAACCCGACGAAAGUCGGGCUAAUACCGCAUACGCCUACGGGGAAAGGCUUCGGCCGCUAUUGGAUGAGCCCGCGUCGGAUUAGCUAGUUGGUGAGGUAAUGGCUCACCAAGGCGACGAUCCGUAGCUGGUCUGAGAGGACGAUCAGCCACACUGGGACUGAGACACGGCCCAGACUCCUACGGGAGGCAGCAGUGGGGAAUAUUGCACAAUGGGCGAAAGCCUGAUGCAGCAAUGCCGCGUGUGUGAAGAAGGCCUGCGGGUUGUAAAGCACUUUCGACGGGGAAGAUGAUGACGGUACCCGUAUAAGAAGCCCCGGCUAACUUCGUGCCAGCAGCCGCGGUAAU